AGGAGGAGGCCGGAUCCUGGGCUGUUUCCCUGGCUCCCUGGGCUCCCAGGCCAGUGCUGCUGGAAUCAUACUCCCGGCUGCACAGCCCCCU
Molecule: microRNA precursor, 91 nt
Filed under: Canis lupus familiaris (dog)
Lineage: Eukaryota; Metazoa; Chordata; Mammalia; Carnivora; Canidae
Description: mir-8799 microRNA precursor family
Rfam family: mir-8799 microRNA precursor family
Source: Rfam by way of RNAcentral